Solea senegalensis (Senegalese sole) is the source of this 420-nucleotide long non-coding RNA. RefSeq lists it as uncharacterized. Lineage: Eukaryota; Metazoa; Chordata; Actinopteri; Pleuronectiformes; Soleidae. The transcript has 4 exons. The record is from RefSeq and is a predicted model, not a curated record.
AUGCUUUUUGCCACAGUUUUUUUCUUUUCUGUCUGCCUCAGAGUGUUUCCAGAUGGAAGCCAAGAUGAGCUGAGAUCCCUGUGCUCCACUAGUUGUCCAAAACCUACAUGCAGCAGGGAGCCAUACCGAUCCCAUGGUUAAGGUUAAAGGUGUCAAGCUCCGCCUUCAUCUCCGCCUGCUCUUGGGUCCAGCAACAAAAGGGAGACUUUGCUGCCUGACUGUGCCUGCAUGUUCAAUCACAGCCGGUGCUCACUCAUUCACCACACAGCUCCAAUUAAGUUUCCUGGAUGCAGUCUGGACAAGUAAUGCUACGUUAAAAGACAUAUAUUCAACACAUAACUUGGUAUGUAUCGUAUCAGAAGACACAACUGCUUUUUUCUCCUCUCUCUCCCUGGUUCUGUGUGUACAUGUAUGUGUAAG